AAGACCUUUGCGCUUUUGGAGCGGCCGAUGCCUGAUUAGCUAGUUGGUGGGGUAAUGGCCUACCAAAGCUUCGAUCAGUAGCUGGUCUGAGAGGACGGCCAGCCACACUGGGACUGAGACACGGCCCAGACUCCUACGGGAGGCAGCAGUGGGGAAUUUUGGACAAUGGGCGCAAGCCUGAUCCAGCCAUGCCGCGUGAGUGAAGAAGGCCUUCGGGUUGUAAAGCUCUUUCAGCCGGGAAGAAAAGGUUGCGAUUAAUAAUCGCAAUUUAUGACGGUACCGGAAGAAGAAGCACCGGCUAACUACGUGCCAGCAGCCGCGGUAAUACGUAGGGUGCGAGCGUUAAUCGGAAUUACUGGGCGUAAGGGGUGCGCAGGCGGUUUUGUAAGUCAGAUGUGAAAUCCCCGGGCUUAACCUGGGAACU
Molecule: ribosomal RNA, 424 nt
Filed under: uncultured bacterium
Lineage: Bacteria
Description: bacterial SSU rRNA
Rfam family: Bacterial small subunit ribosomal RNA
Source: RNAcentral